GACUUAAUCUCAGCCCAUUGGCUUAAUCAAAUUAAGCCAAUUAGUAAUCAAAUUGCUAAUCGAUCCUCCUGCAACACUUGCACUAGGUUAAAUGUCAAUCGUAUUGAUCAUUUAACCCUAGAACGAUUCUUAAUCAUUGAUCAACCAUCCGAUCGGAUCAUGAACUCUAAUGUGUGUGACCUCAUAGGUCUGAACCUAAGCCGGUAGUAUAGAAAUAAAUUUCUGUACCAAUCGAAGUGACCAUCUAGCAAUGGUACCCGACGACCGGAUAGGUCGAAUGUGUAGAACAACAUCCUUAGAACCCAUGCGGAUAUAGUUUCCAUAUAAUUCAUCCCCUUGACCAAAAUGAUCAUAGGACAUCUCAGAGUUCAACUGUCAACUUUGAUCAGGUUGUCCACAUUGUAUUUCAAAAUAUCAAAUCCAUCUGAUGGAUUACCCUGGCCA
Molecule: long non-coding RNA, 444 nt
Filed under: Elaeis guineensis (African oil palm)
Lineage: Eukaryota; Viridiplantae; Streptophyta; Magnoliopsida; Arecales; Arecaceae
Description: long non-coding RNA (EGUI_LNC056547)
Source: RNAcentral